UUACUCUCUACAGCAAAGUACAAGAGGCACAACCACAUAUAUAAUAGCUAUGCAGCAACGACUAAUAGUUUAAAGCAAAAGCUUCUCUAAAACCAAAGAGAUUGAGUGCUAAAGUACUUUACGCCAAAAUGACAGCAGCCUAGAAUAGUCCACCUAGAGUACUCCAAACAACAUUACCAUACUAAAGCACUUAACUAGGUAACUAAAAUAAUAGGAGAGACAAUUAUUUAAAUAAGGCUUGGUUUACUUUUCCAACAGCCUCCCUUAAACCAAGCUGAGAUCUUCAAACUUCAUCAUUCCCAUUAGCUCCUUCAGCUUCAAGAAAGCAACUGUUUUCAUAGACUUGGUAAAUAUAUCAGCUACUUGAUCUCCAGAUGGACAAUAGUGAACUGCAACCUCUAUCAUCUUCACCAAAUCUCGAAUAUAAUAAUGCUUGACAUGAAUAUGCUUUUCCUCUCAUGAAAAACUGGAUUCUUUGACAAUGAGAUUGCUGAGUUAUUAUCACAGAAGAUUGUUGCAGGAUUUUUAUGUUCUUG
Molecule: long non-coding RNA, 536 nt
Filed under: Rosa chinensis
Lineage: Eukaryota; Viridiplantae; Streptophyta; Magnoliopsida; Rosales; Rosaceae
Description: sRNA RchiOBHm_Chr1g0373741
Source: RNAcentral